Molecule: ribosomal RNA, 757 nt
Filed under: Enterococcus faecalis
Lineage: Bacteria; Bacillati; Bacillota; Bacilli; Lactobacillales; Enterococcaceae
Description: partial 23S ribosomal RNA
Rfam family: Bacterial large subunit ribosomal RNA
Source: RNAcentral
GGUUAAGUGAAUAAGGGCGCACGGUGGAUGCCUUGGCACUAGGAGCCGAUGAAGGACGGGACUAACACCGAUAUGCUUUGGGGAGCUGUAAGUAAGCUAUGAUCCAGAGAUUUCCGAAUGGGGGAACCCAAUAUCUUUUAUAGGAUAUUACUUUUCAGUGAAUACAUAGCUGAUUAGAGGUAGACGCAGAGAACUGAAACAUCUUAGUACCUGCAGGAAGAGAAAGAAAAUUCGAUUCCCUGAGUAGCGGCGAGCGAAACGGGAAGAGCCCAAACCAACAAGCUUGCUUGUUGGGGUUGUAGGACUCCAAUAUGGUAGUCUGUUAGUAUAGUUGAAGGAUUUGGAAAAUUCCGCUAAAGAGGGUGAAAGCCCCGUAGACGAAAUGCUGACAACACCUAGGAGGAUCCUGAGUACGGCGGAACACGAGAAAUUCCGUCGGAAUCCGCGGGGACCAUCCCGCAAGGCUAAAUACUCCCUAGUGACCGAUAGUGAACCAGUACCGUGAGGGAAAGGUGAAAAGCACCCCGGAAGGGGAGUGAAAUAGAUCCUGAAACCGUGUGCCUACAACAAGUCAAAGCUCGUUAAUGAGUGAUGGCGUGCCUUUUGUAGAAUGAACCGGCGAGUUACGAUUGCAUGCGAGGUUAAGUCGAAGAGACGGAGCCGCAGCGAAAGCGAGUCUGAAUAGGGCGAAUGAGUAUGUAGUCGUAGACCCGAAACCAUGUGAUCUACCCAUGUCCAGGUUGAAGGUGCGGUAAAA